This is a long non-coding RNA of Chiroxiphia lanceolata (lance-tailed manakin), 752 nucleotides long. RefSeq lists it as uncharacterized. NCBI's taxonomy places the organism in Eukaryota, Metazoa, Chordata, Aves, Passeriformes, Pipridae. The record is from RefSeq and is a predicted model, not a curated record. The transcript has 2 exons.
CCGACCCGGCCCCUGCCGCGCCACGAGGGGCAAAACCCUCGGAGGAGCUGCACGACCCGGGCCAGCCCUUCUUUUUUGUUGGAAAUAUCAGCUCCUGCCGCUCGAGGCUUUCCCAGCUCACCUUCUGUGCUCUCAGCCCCCCAAACCACCCCAGCUUUAACUUCCUUUCCUCCCGGGAAAGCGGGCAGUGCUUUUUUCAUACGUGUGCCUGUGCGUGUCUGUGAGCGAACAACAAAGUUCAGAAAGUUUCCUGCCCUCCUAUCCCCGGUCAGACUCUGAGUUCCUGCUUUAAUUUUAAUUUAGACACCAGAAAAUCGGGGUGGUUGGCGAAUAAAUGGAGAAAUACAGUGGAGCAGAGCGACAGAGACAUCUGCUACCUACAGCAAUCCAACUAUUUGUCCUCUCUUAAAGCUGUCAUCGGGAUGCCUGCUUGGAAGUUCUGCUUGGAGGCGUCCCCGGGGCACAUCACCGAGAGGUUUUGCUCGAAGGGGGAGCAGUGCAUGUUGAAGGAGCCGGGCUCCAGGCCGUACCCCGAGGAGUACAUGCCGGGGGGCUGGGGGUGCACGGCGCUGCCGCUGGAGUAGAGCCCGGGCAUGGAGGCGGCGAAGGGAGGCGUGGAUCCGGCCCCAUACCCCGCUCGCUGGGGGUUGGAGGCGAAAGCGCAAGAAGUUUGCUCGGGGAAGACUCCGGACGGGAAAACCGAACUUGCGGCUUGAUAUUUAGAAAAUAAAGCAUUCGCAUAAUACAAUGAA